Molecule: ribosomal RNA, 253 nt
Filed under: uncultured bacterium
Lineage: Bacteria
Description: partial 16S ribosomal RNA
Rfam family: Bacterial small subunit ribosomal RNA
Source: RNAcentral
CACGUAGGGCGCAAGCGUUGUCCGGAAUUAUUGGGCGUAAAGAGCUCGUAGGCGGUCUGUUGCGUCCGCUGUGAAAACUCGGGGCUUAACCCCGAGCCUGCAGUGGAUACGGGCAGACUAGAGGUAGGUAGGGGAGAAUGGAAUUCCCGGUGUAGCGGUGAAAUGCGCAGAUAUCGGGAGGAACAUCAGUGGCGAAAGCGGCUUCCUGGACCAGUACCGACGUUCAGGCACGAAAGCGUGGGGAGCAAACAGG